AAGUCGAAAUCAUUGUAAUGCAUGAGGACUUGGAUCAUGGAGCAAUCGCGGAAUUCAUGAUUUAGCAUUCAUAAGUUUUUUAAUUAAUUAAUUAAUCGAGAUGAUGAUGUUGAACUGAAGGUAUUCAAAUCUAUGAUUAUCAUAACCCUGUCAUUUUGUACACCCAACUUUGAGAUGAAUCUUUGUUCCAAAAAUUAUAAUCAUAUAAAUAUUUUUGUCUAUAUAUUAGUCAGUUAAUUAUAAAUGGGAAAUUUAAAAUAGAUAAUAUAGUAUGACUUCUUUUAUUUAAUUUUUGUUGGAAGAAUGUUGCAGAUUACAUGAGUAUAGGUUUUUCUUAUAACUUAAUUCUUAGUUAGAGAUGGU
RNAcentral lists this long non-coding RNA (363 nucleotides) under Vigna radiata. Its description in RNAcentral is "long non-coding RNA (VRAD_LNC004148)". Lineage: Eukaryota; Viridiplantae; Streptophyta; Magnoliopsida; Fabales; Fabaceae. The record is from RNAcentral.